CCAUGCUUGACGGAGCGCGAGUAAUCCCUCGCUGAGAUUGUGUAAAUGUCCGCAUUUAAACACAAGUACCGUUGAACCUGAUCAGGUUAAAACCUGCGUAGGAAUCAAGCCAUCUAAAAAC
This 121-nucleotide non-coding RNA is filed under the name Acinetobacter brisouii. RNAcentral's name for it is "TPP sequence". It matches the Rfam family "TPP riboswitch aptamer (THI element)". Rfam says of the family: Vitamin B(1) in its active form thiamin pyrophosphate (TPP) is an essential coenzyme that is synthesised by coupling of pyrimidine and thiazole moieties in bacteria. The record is from RNAcentral. RNAcentral also lists the same sequence under 1 other name. Lineage: Bacteria; Pseudomonadati; Pseudomonadota; Gammaproteobacteria; Moraxellales; Moraxellaceae.